AGUGAACGCUGGCGGUAGGCCUAACACAUGCAAGUCGAACGGCAGCACAGGAGAGCUUGCUCUCUGGGUGGCGAGUGGCGGACGGGUGAGGAAUACACCGGAAUCUACUCUGUCGUGGGGGAUAACGUAGGGAAACUUACGCUAAUACCGCAUACGACCUACGGGUGAAAGCAGGGGACCUUCGGGCCUUGCGCGAUUGAAUGAGCCGAUGUCGGAUUAGCUAGUUGGCGGGGUAAAGGCCCACCAAGGCGACGAUCCGUAGCUGGUCUGGGAGGAUGAUCAGCCACACUGGAACUGAGACCCGGUCCAGACCCCUACGGGAGGAAGCAGUGGGGAAUAUUGGACAAUGGGCGCAAGCCUGAUCCAGCCAUACCGCGUGGGUGAAGAAGGCCUUCGGGUUGUAAAGCCCUUUUGUUGGGAAAGAAAUCCAGCUGGCUAAUACCCGGUUGGGAUGACGGUACCCAAAGAAUAGCACCGGCUAACUUCGUGCCAGCAGCCGCCGUAA
RNAcentral lists this ribosomal RNA (505 nucleotides) under uncultured bacterium. Its description in RNAcentral is "partial 16S ribosomal RNA". It matches the Rfam family "Bacterial small subunit ribosomal RNA", at positions 29 to 523 of the family's 1533-position model. The record is from RNAcentral.